Non-coding RNA from Camellia sinensis, 1740 nucleotides. NCBI's taxonomy places the organism in Eukaryota, Viridiplantae, Streptophyta, Magnoliopsida, Ericales, Theaceae. The record is from RefSeq and is a predicted model, not a curated record.
CUUCCAUUUCUUUUGGGCGUUCCGAUCUUAGAAAAGCUUGCUCCAUCAAUCGCUUCCAUUUUUGUUGGCCGAACUGGUAGCCAGUUAUUCCUCACUGAUGGUGAACCCAACAAGCCACCUCUUGUAUUAAGAAUGGCAUCGGAUUGUGAAGAUGGAAAAUUUAUGUCAGCUCUUGGUGCAUUUAGAUGCCGUAUUAUUUAUGCGAAUGUCUCUUUUGACCAUAUGGUUGGUUGGCGUACAUCCUCUAUCAGAAGGGAGACAGAACUCUUCAAGCCUCCUCGUCAAUCUCUGGACGGUUACAAGCAUGUUGUGGAUGUUCAGUACUGUCCACCAAAUUUGUCUGAGGGUACUCAUUUUCCUCCGGAAGCAGCACAAAUUGCACCCAGCCCAGUGAAUGCAGUGGAUUAUCAUGAAAUUAUGGAAGAGGAAAUGAUACGUGGCUUACAACAAUUAGGAUGGAAAAAAGUUGAUGUCAGCUUUCACUCGGCAUUCUUGCCCUUCUUUGCCCAUAACUAUAUUCAUGUGAAAAAUGAAUGGCUUCAUAAUUCUGGAGCAGGAGUAAUCGCUCAUGUUGCUGAUAGCGUAAAACAGGGAGAAAUGCAACAAGACUCUACCUCAUGUAUUGCCACUAGCUUCUAGCAUUGAAAUGAAUGCUAGUACAUGCCAAGGUUUGGUGCAAUACCAGUGGAUGUAUGCAUUUGAGAGGUACAUGUAUAUUCUUAAGGGCUAUGUGCGUAACAAAGCCCAUCUAGAAGGCUCUAUUGCUGAAGGUUACAUUGAUAAUGAGGCUCUUACCUUUUGCUCUAUAUACUUCAAUGAAGGUGAGACAAAAUUUAAUAGACCAUAGCGGAAUUAUGACGGGCCUAUUAAAGCUAUACAAGAUGGAAAUAUUUUUGUAUUUAAGCAAAAAGUACGUGGAAUAGGAGCUGCAGUUAAUGAUGUGUUGAAUUUAAAAGAUUUGAAGAAAGCUCGAUGGUACGUGUUGAAUAAUUGUGAUGAAGUUCAACCGUAUGUGAGGCAAUACAUGGAUGAACUUGAGAGACAAGGUUUGAGGAAUGUUCAAGAGAGGCUAGAAUCAGAGUUUCCAUACAUGGUUUCUAAAAUACAUUUGGUGCAGUGGAGAAGCUGAAAGAUCAAUUGCUAGAAAACAAUAAACAAACUUACUGGUUUCCUGAUUUUGUGGAGCUCAUUCAGGGAGGAACUCUCUCUGUCUGGUGGAUCUGUAUUUCAUGUGAAAGGGCCUGCAACCACUAGGCACAUCCAAGGGUAAGAGAGGACAUGGGAAGUCACGAAGCCUCAAAUUAGCCAAGCUAAAAAAUCAAGGGGUGCGACUGCCUAUUCAGAUUUGCAAGGUUAGUGGACGACCAUAUGGUAAAGCAUCUGAAAAAUUUACCAGUGAAUUAGGGUUUGUCACUAGGAAAUUUGCCUCACAAAAUGUGCCAUUGUGGACCGAUAUUAGCGAAGAGGAUAAAGAAACAUUGAUUGCAUACCUUCAAGUGUCCAAGCACCAGACCGGAGCUAGGAGCAUCGGGUUAGCUCUUGUUUUGUCAAGCCAACCUUUGUGUCUCGCCUCGAGGUUUCAAGUCCGUUCAAGCUACGGCUGUUUUGGGAUAUUCGGAUUCACCCUUCUGUUUUUGUUUUGUAAUAGAUGUUAUAGACUCCUACUGUACAGUUAUGGCAUAGGGAUUGAAUCCCUAACUUGUAUGUAUGUAUAUCUGGUAUGUAAAUGUGUUUUGGUUA